RNAcentral lists this long non-coding RNA (288 nucleotides) under Ananas comosus (pineapple). RNAcentral describes it as "long non-coding RNA (ACOM_LNC014515)". Lineage: Eukaryota; Viridiplantae; Streptophyta; Magnoliopsida; Poales; Bromeliaceae. The record is from RNAcentral.
AAAAGAAAUAACUUGAUUUUUAGAAAUCAAUCUUCAAAUCUUCUGAUCAGUUCGUGAUUAGACAAGCUCGGGACUUGAAAAGGGAGUGGACUGAGUUCUGUAGUAGACUGAGUUCUGUAGUUCUAAGUGAACUCUUUUUUAGCUUUGCUUUUUUAUUAUUUAUUUUUAGUUUUUUUAGUUUUUGGUAUGACGGUCUGUAACUUAUUCGAGGCCGAAUUGCCUCAACUUCUGUAUCUACAUUCAUUUCUUAUAUAAAUGAAGCGGAUAGCGUGCUUUCUUAAAAAAAUA